UACGGAGGGGGCUAGAGUUGUUCGGGAUUACUGGGCGUAAAGGGCGCGUAGGCGGCGUCGUAAGUCAGGCGUGAAAGGCCCGGGCUCAACCGGGGAACUGCGCUUGAUACUGCGGCGCUGGAGUCCGGGAGAGGAUGGCGGAAUUCCCAGUGUAGAGGUGAAAUUCGUAGAUAUGGGGAAGAACACCGGUGGCGAAGGCGGCCAUCUGGACCGGUACUGUCGCUAAUGCGCGAAAGCGUGGGGAGCAAAUAGG
RNAcentral lists this ribosomal RNA (253 nucleotides) under uncultured bacterium. Its description in RNAcentral is "partial 16S ribosomal RNA". It matches the Rfam family "Bacterial small subunit ribosomal RNA", at positions 524 to 776 of the family's 1533-position model. The record is from RNAcentral.